AAUAGAUACCCUGGUAGUCCACGCCGUAAACGAUGAGUGCUAAGUGUUAGAGGGUUUCCGCCCUUUAGUGCUGCAGCUAACGCAUUAAGCACUCCGCCUGGGGAGUACGGUCGCAAGACUGAAACUCAAAGGAAUUGACGGGGGCCCGCACAAGCGGUGGAGCAUGUGGUUUAAUUCGAAGCAACGCGAAGAACCUUACCAGGUCUUGACAUCCCACUGACCGGUAUAGAGAUAUACCUUUCCCUUCGGGGACAGUGGCGACAGGUGGUGCAUGGUUGUCGUCAGCUCGUGUCGUGAGAUGUUGGGUUAAGUCCCGCAACGAGCGCAACCCUUGAUCUUAGUUGCCAGCAUUUAGUUGGGCACUCUAAGGUGACUGCCGGUGACAAACCGGAGGAAGGUGGGGAUGACGUCAAAUCAUCAUGCCCCUUAUGACCUGGGCUACACACGUGCUACAAUGGAUGGUACAAAGGGCUGCAAGACUGCGAAGUCAAGCCAAUCCCAUAAAACCAUUCUCAGUUCGGAUUGCAGG
RNAcentral lists this ribosomal RNA (529 nucleotides) under uncultured bacterium. Its description in RNAcentral is "bacterial SSU rRNA". It matches the Rfam family "Bacterial small subunit ribosomal RNA", at positions 777 to 1304 of the family's 1533-position model. The record is from RNAcentral.